CUUGUGGAGAUCCAGGCUCAGACUGUUGGCUGGAAAGAACUGAUUUUCAGUGAGACUGGAUCUGGAGUUCUCCACAGUAAUGAGUCCAGGUCCGAGUUCCUCUCAGCUCAGAUGUCCUUUGGUGACAUCAUUCAUGAGUUGCUGGAGGGAGGGGACACUAGGGACCAGCUCAUGGAUUCUCCAUGACAAUCCCAUACAGCGGCAAUUUUUCUGUAAUCUCAAAGAUCUUCACGCUGCUCAGGAGGAUGGAACAAAUCCUACUGGUGGUAUUUUAUAUAAAGAGGUUUAUAUAGCCAAAGGUCCAUUUCAGAAGACAUGACUGAGAGCCAAGAGGAGGAUGAAGAGCCUGCUUGGAAGCGUGGGGGGAGAGGAGGCUCACCAAAAGCUCAAGUACCACUCCUUGAAAGUCUCCUGCAGAAGCAUUGGGUUCCCCAUUCCAAAUCCCACAAGCACUAACUUAAUUCUAGAAAGAAAGGAUUUCCCUUCUGUUGUCAAUG
Molecule: long non-coding RNA, 497 nt
Organism: Grammomys surdaster
Lineage: Eukaryota; Metazoa; Chordata; Mammalia; Rodentia; Muridae
Exons: 3
Source: RefSeq, a predicted model, not a curated record